GCCGACAUAGCUCAGCAGGUAGAGCAACUGAUUCGUAAUCAGUAGGUCGCGUGUUCGAUUCACGCUGUCGGCU
Molecule: transfer RNA, 73 nt
Filed under: Myxococcales bacterium
Lineage: Bacteria; Pseudomonadati; Myxococcota; Myxococcia; Myxococcales
Description: tRNA-Thr
Rfam family: tRNA
About the family: Transfer RNA (tRNA) molecules are approximately 80 nucleotides in length. Their secondary structure includes four short double-helical elements and three loops (D, anti-codon, and T loops). Further hydrogen bonds mediate the characteristic L-shaped molecular structure. tRNAs have two regions of fundamental functional importance: the anti-codon, which is responsible for specific mRNA codon recognition, and the 3' end, to which the tRNAs corresponding amino acid is attached (by aminoacyl-tRNA synthetases). tRNAs cope with the degeneracy of the genetic code in two manners: having more than one tRNA (with a specific anti-codon) for a particular amino acid; and 'wobble' base-pairing, i.e. permitting non-standard base-pairing at the 3rd anti-codon position.
Source: RNAcentral